This 2930-nucleotide long non-coding RNA is filed under the name Gallus gallus (chicken). RNAcentral describes it as "lncRNA (ENSGALG00010007032.1)". Lineage: Eukaryota; Metazoa; Chordata; Aves; Galliformes; Phasianidae. The record is from RNAcentral.
GUUAUUUCCCUUGUUUCCAUUAUUUCCGUUAUUUCAGUUAUUUUCUUUACUUUUCUUGGCCUGUCAUCUAAGUUUCUGCUGUAUGUUUCUUUCUCUCUGGAGGUUAUUUCCUUUAUUUCCAUUAUUUCCGUUAUUUCAGUUAUUUCCUUUAUUCUUCUUGGCCUGUCAUCUAAGUUUCUGCUGUAUGUUUCUGUCUUUCGGGAGUUUACUUCCGUUAUUAUUUCUGUUAUUUCCGUUAUUAAUUCCGUUAUUUCCGUAAUUAUUUCUGUUAUUUCCACUGUUCUUCUUGGCCUGUCAUCUAAGUUUCUGCAAUAUGUUUUUGUCUCCCUGGUUGUUAUUUACGUUAUUAUUUCUGUUAUUAUUUCCAUUAUUAUUUCCGGGUUUUUUUGUUGUUGUUAUUUUUGUUGUUGUUUCCGUUUUUUCUUUUUUUUUUUUUCGUUUUUUUCUGUUAUUUCCGUUACACUUCUUGGCCUGUCAUCAAAGUUUCUGCAGUAUGUUUCUGUUUCUUUGGUGUUUGGUUCCGUUAAUCUUGUGCGUUCCGUUGUUUAUUUCCAUUAGUUCUGUAAUUUAUUCCCGUUAUUAUUCCCGUUAUUCUUUCCGUUGUUCUUCUUGGCCUGUCAUCUAUUUUUCUGCAGUCUGUUUCUGUCUCUCUGGUGGUUAGUUCCGUUAGUUCCGUUAUUACCAUUCUUUCCAUUAUUUCCCUUGUUCUUCUUGUCCUGUCAUCUAAGUUUCUGCUUUAUGUUUCUUUCUCUCUGCAGUUUAUUUCCGUUGUUCUUCUUGGGCUGUCAUCUAACUUCCUGCUGUAUGUUUCUGUCUCUCUGGAGGUUAUUUCCGUUGUUUCCGUUGUUUCCGUUCUUUCCGUUAUUUCUGUUAUUUCCAUUGUUCUUCUUGGCCUGUCAUCUAACUUUCUGCUGUAUGUUUCUUUCUUUCUCUCUGCAGUUUAUUUCCGUUAUUUCCAUUAUUUCUGUUAUUUUUGUUGUUCUUCUUGGCCUGUCAUCUAAAUUUCUGCUGUAUGUUUCUGUCUCUAUGGAGGCUGUUUCCGUUAUUUCCGUUAUUUCUUUUAUUUCCAUUGUUCUUCUUGGCCUGUCAUCUAAGUUUCUGCAGUAUUUUUAUGUCUCUCUGCAGGUUGUUUCCGUUGUUUCCAUUGUGUCUGUUAUUUCCGUUGUUCUUCUUGGCCUGUCAUCUAACUUUGUGCUGUAUGUUUCUGUCUCUCUGGAGGUUGUUUCCGUUAUUUCUGUUGUUCUUCUUGGCCUGUUAUCUAAGUUUCUGCAGUAUGUUUCUGUCUGUUGGGAGUUUACUUCCCUUGUUAUUUCUGUUAUUUCCGUUACUAAUUCCGUUAUUUCCGUAAUUAUUUCUGUUAUUUCCAUUGUUCUUCUUGGCCUGUCAUCUAAGUUUCUGCAAUAUGUUUUUGUCUCUCUGGUUGUUAUUUACGUUAUUAUUUCCUUUAUUAUUUCCAUCAUUAUUUUUUUUUCUUGUUGUUGUUGUUGUUGUUUCCGUUUUUUCUUUUUUUUUCCCAUUUUUUUCUGUUAUUUCCGUUACACUUCUUGGCCUGUCAUCGAAGUUUCUGCAGUAUGUUUCUUUCUCUCUGGAGGUUAUUUUCGUUAUUUCCGUUAUUUCCUUUAUUUUCCUUGGUCUGUCAUCUAAGUUUCUGCAGAAUAUUUCUGUGUCUCUGGUGGUUAGUUCCGUUAGUUCCGUGAGUUUCGUUGUUUAUUUCCAUUAUUUCUGUAAUUUAUUUCCUUUAUUAUUUUCGUUAUUCUUUCCGUUAUUCUUCUUGCCUGUCAUCUAAGUUUCUGCAGUAUGUUUCUGUCUCUCUGGAGGUUAUUUCCGUUAUUUCCAUUAUUUCCGUUAUUUCAGUUAUUUUCUUUACUUUUCUUGGCCUGUCAUCUAAGUUUCUGCAGUAUGUUUCUUUCUCUCUGGAGGUUAUUUCCGUUAUUUCCAUUAUUUCCGUUAUUUCAGUUAUUUCCUUUAUUCUUCUUGGCCUGUCAUCUAAGUUUCUGCUGUAUGUUUCUGUAUAUCUGGAGGUUAUUUCCGUUAUUUCCAUUAUUUCCGUUAUUUCAGUUAUUUCCUUUAUUCUUCUUGGCCUGUCAUCUAAGUUUCUGCUGUAUAUUUCUGUCUCUCUGGAGGUUUUUUCCAUUAUUUUCGUUAUUUUGGUUAUUUCUGUAUUUUCGUUAUUUCCGUAAUUAUUUCCGUUAUUUCCGUUGUUCUUCUUGGCCUGUCAUCUAAGUUUCUGCUGUAAGUUUCUGUCUUGCUGGUUAUUAGUUCCUUUUGUUCCGUUAGAUCCGUUAUUUAUUUCCGUUAGUUCUGGAAUUUAUUUCCGUUAGUUCCGUUAUUUAUUUCCAUUACUUUCGUCUUUUAGUUCCCUUAUUUAGUUCCGUUAUUUAAUUCCGUUUUUUCCGUUGUUCUUGGACUGUCAUCUAAGUUUCUGAAGUAUGUUUCUUUCUCUCUGGAGUUUAUUUCCUUUCUUUCCCUUAUAAUUUCCCUUAUUAUUUCCCUUAUUAUUUCCCUUAUUUCCCGUAUUUUUUCCCUUAUUUCACUUAUUCUGUUAUUUCCCUCAUUUCCCUUUUUUCCGUUAUUUCCCUUAUUUCCGUUAUUUACCUUAUUUUCUUUAUUUCCCUUAUUUCUGUUGUUUCUGCUAUUUCUGUUUUUUCCAUUGUUCUUCUUGGCCUGUCAUCUAAGUUUCAGAUGUAUGUUUCUGUCUCUCUGGAGUUUGUUUCCGUUAUUAUUUCCAUUAUUAAUUCAGUAAUUUCCGUAAUUUACUUUAGUUAUUCCCGUUAUUUAUUUCCGUUUUUUCCAUUAUUUAUUUAUGUUAUUUCAGUUAUUUAUUUCCGUUAUUUCUGUAGUUCUUCUUGGCCUGUCAUCUCAGUUUCUGCAGUCUGUUUCUGUCUCUCUGGAGGUUAUUUCCGUUAUUUCCAUUAUUUCCGUUAUUUCUG